RNAcentral lists this ribosomal RNA (408 nucleotides) under uncultured bacterium. RNAcentral's name for it is "bacterial SSU rRNA". It matches the Rfam family "Bacterial small subunit ribosomal RNA", at positions 355 to 775 of the family's 1533-position model. The record is from RNAcentral.
UGGGGAAUCUUGCGCAAUGGGCGAAAGCCUGACGCAGCGACGCCGCGUGGGGGAUGAAGGCCUUCGGGUUGUAAACCCCUUUCGACAGGGAAGAAGCGAAAGUGACGGUACCUGUAGAAGAAGUCCCGGCUAACUACGUGCCAGCAGCCGCGGUAAGACGUAGGGGACGAGCGUUGUCCGGAUUUAUUGGGCGUAAAGCGCGCGCAGGCGGCUUGGUAAGUCGGGUGUGAAAAUCCGAGGCUCAACCUCGGACGUGCACCUGAAACUGCCAGGCUAGAGGUAGGUAGGGGAGAUCGGAAUUCCUGGUGUAGCGGUGAAAUGCGCAGAUAUCAGGAGGAACACCGGUGGCGAAGGCGGAUCUCUGGGCCUUACCUGACGCUCAGGCGCGAAAGCUAGGGGAGCGAACAG